This 71-nucleotide transfer RNA is filed under the name Patiria miniata (bat star). RNAcentral describes it as "tRNA-Gly". It matches the Rfam family "tRNA". From Rfam's summary of the family: Transfer RNA (tRNA) molecules are approximately 80 nucleotides in length. The record is from Rfam by way of RNAcentral. Lineage: Eukaryota; Metazoa; Echinodermata; Asteroidea; Valvatida; Asterinidae.
GCAUCGGUGGUUCAGUGGUAGAAUUCUCGCCUGCCACGCGGGAGACCGGGGUUCGAUUCCCCGUCGAUGCA